GAUGAAGAACGUAGCGAAAUGCGAUAAGUAGUGUGAAUUGCAGAAGUACCGUGAAUCAUCGAAUCUUUGAACGCAAAUUGCACUCUCUGGUAUUCCGGGGAGUAUGCCUGUUUGAGGGUCGCUUAACAAACCAUCGAUUUCGUUGCUUUUUUUUUUAAAAAAGUGAUGUUUAUCGGAUUUGAGCCGUCUUUUUUUUUUAUAUUUAAGUGGCUUAAAAUUGAUUUUUUUGGUACGAUCGAAGCGUAUUUUUAUGAUCAAUUUUUGGUUAAAGAAACGCACACGUACCGUUAUUUAUAUGAUGUAAUACGUUUGACUAUUGGAUUUAGUUCAUUCGUAUACGAUAUUUUUCAAUAUUUGACCUCAAAUCAGGUAAGAACACCCGCUGAACUUAAGCAUAUCAAUAAGCGGAGGA
This 412-nucleotide unclassified non-coding RNA is filed under the name soil metagenome. RNAcentral's name for it is "partial contains 5.8S ribosomal RNA, internal transcribed spacer 2, and large subunit ribosomal RNA". The stretch from base 1 to 121 matches the Rfam family "5.8S ribosomal RNA", at positions 35 to 154 of the family's 154-position model. The record is from RNAcentral.